ACACGGGCCCUGACACAAACACGAGCCCUGUUCCAAACGGCGCACUCCGGUCUUGUGGACCUCCUCCGAGUCCACACUUGAUGACGUCAGGAAGUGCAGACCUAUAGGGCACUAGAAGCUGUGUUGUUCAGCCUUACAGAGCCCAGAGCAGGGGCGUAGCCAGAACUUUUUUUAGCGGUGGCCAGGAUAUGUGAAACAACUAUCCUUGAAAGAGGGGGCAAUACCAACCUUAUUUGGACCUGUUAGCUCCACCGAAUCACAACCUGUAAGUGUGACUAUUUAUUUUUGUCUUAACUUCAAGAAAUAUUUGUGUACCUUAUGUCUGUGUUUAGCUAAUGCGUAUAACGCUAUCAUUAGCAUUUACCGUUAUUUAUGGGGUAUUACAGUUUGUUUAUCUUGCUAUUAACUCGGCUAAUUUAAUUGUCCAAUCUAUUAACUCUCAAAGUAUUUAUUUCAAAAACUGAGUCGAGUACUAUCUGUAUUGUAAUAACAUCUGAAGAUACGAACACCGAACACUGUAUGCCGUGUCAAUUAGUCCAAGACACAUGAUGAACGCGUUUGACCAAUCACAACAGACUACACCAUCUGACCAAUCACAUGACACUAGGCUAGCGGAUAGGAGGGGACUAGACGGAUGAAUCGCGGAACGAAUCAUUUGAGAGUCAGACAAGAAGUAUGGUAAGAAUAACUGCCUAUUAUUAUGACAUAAUAGUGUUUUUACACCUUGUAUGUACAUAAACUUGUUGUUGGACACUCCAUAAACCAAAGUAAGACCUUAAAAAUCAUAUGCUACUUACACUUUAAAACUUAUUCGCACAACAGAGGUGGCCAGAUAGGUGGCCAUCCAUCAUUCAGGGGUAGCCGUGGCCACCCGUGGCCACCCAUGGCCACCAUGUAGCUACGCCCCUGGCCAGAGACAACUAGAUAUACUGUAAAUCUACAACAAAACAUGGUUUAUUACCUUAAGUAAGAAAAUGCACUGCAUUAAAAUAUUGUAUUCUUGAAUAGCUGGCUUAAUAGAAAAUAAAUAAGCAAUAAUACGAAUAAGUAACUAAUUAAUAAAUUAAAUAAAAAAUGUAUCCGUCAUGUUUACGUAUAUGUCUGACAUCCACGACACUCCUCCCAUCCGUUCUGUGAUUGGGCGCUCGCAAGGAUUCCUGGGUAGGGAUACUUCAGUGGAGUCUGCAUCAAUGCGGGCUUCGCCGAAGACCGCAUCGAGGGCACAAAGGAGGCGUUCGCGAGCAGACUUCUGAGCACUAAAAAGACAAAUGGGACACCCUACGGACUCGUAGACUUGGCGAGAACGCGCAAUUUAAGUCCACGAGACCUCAAGUCCACAUGAAGUGCGCCAUUUGGGACAGGGCCACGGACGUUAAGAACACUUAAAAGUGAAAGUGGCCUGUCUGACAUGAUACCCAUUUGGAAUCGAAUUUGCGAUCUUCGGGUGAUUUUAGCGCAAUUUAAGCUAACUAAUGGACUUGUGCCUAGUUCCACACAUCUCGGAUUCAGGACAUUUUCCACUUCAAGCCAGCAAACAUUGUUGUAAUGCUUUAAAUGUUUUAAUAUUACUAAAUACUUUAAAAGUUACUAAAUUCAGAUGUUAUGUCCAGGUUUGAAGUGGAAACUAUUCUAAUACCGAGUUGUCUGGAACGCAGCAUUGGUACACCGUUCAACGCGCACCUGCAUAUUAUUUAUGAAUAAAAUACUGAUAAAAACAACAAUACAUAAUAUGUAUUGGAUAUAAAUUUAACGUUGAAUACAUUAUUUCUUAUGAAUUGACUUAAAUAAAUAAGAAAAAUAAAUAAAUACAUA
Long non-coding RNA from Triplophysa rosa, 1812 nucleotides. RefSeq lists it as uncharacterized. Lineage: Eukaryota; Metazoa; Chordata; Actinopteri; Cypriniformes; Nemacheilidae. The record is from RefSeq and is a predicted model, not a curated record. The transcript is spliced from 3 exons.